Rhincodon typus (whale shark) is the source of this 1455-nucleotide RNA transcript. It is a transcript of the gene named ephrin type-A receptor 5-like, with no coding region annotated. The record is from RefSeq and is a predicted model, not a curated record. The transcript has 2 exons. Lineage: Eukaryota; Metazoa; Chordata; Chondrichthyes; Orectolobiformes; Rhincodontidae.
GCUAAUUUGCUUAUAAGAUAACUUGCUUUCAUCCAAAGAUUUCCUUAUCUUGGAAACUUUGUGAUGUUCUAGGGAGAGAACUGGUUCCUUGGUCAGGUUCUCUCUUGUUGGAGAUGGUCAUUGCCUCAUAUUUGUGUAGCAUGAAUAUCACUUGUGAUAUCACUGAAACCCCAAUAUCAACAUCCUGGGCUUACCAUUGACCAGAAUCUCAACUAGAUUCAUCACAUCAACGCAGUGGCUACAAGACCAGAUCAGACGCUAGGAAUAUUGCAGAAAGUAACUCACCCUCUGACUCCCCAAAGCCUGUCCAUCAGCUACAAUGGACAAGUCAGCAGUGUGAUGGAAUACUCCCACUUGCCUGGAUGGGUGCAGUCCCAACAACACUCAAGAAGCUUGACACCAUCCAGGACAAAGCAGCCCGCUUGAUUGGCACGAUGUUCAGAAGCAUCCGCUCUCUCCACCGCUCACACACAGUUGCAACACUGUGUCCUGUUUACAAGAUGCACUGCAGAAAUUCACCCAAGGUCUUCAGACAGCACCUUCCAAAUGCAGGACCAAGUCUAUCUAGAAAGACAAGGGCAGCAGAUACAUGGGAACACCACCACCUCCAAGUUCCCCUUCAAGCCACUCACCAUCCUGACUUGGAAAUAUAUCAUUGUGUCCUUCACUAUCGCUGAGUCAAAAUCCUAGAACUCCCUCUCUGAUGGCAUUGUGGGUUAACCCACGGAAGGUGGACUGCAGCGGUUCAAGAAGGCAGCUCAUUACUACCUUCUCAAGGGCAGCGAGGGACGGGUAAUAAAUCCUGGCCAGCUAGCGAUGCCCACAUCCUAUAAGUGAAUAUAAAAAAUCGGUUCGGGUGGAGCCAAGAAACAGGAAAGGGAGCAAACAUUGGUUGGAAUUAUUUAUAGUGAUGUAAUGAAGCUGGGAGUUACUCUUUCUGGACAUCAGAAGAAGAUAGUGAGCAGCAUUAAGCAACUGGAAACACAGACCAAGAACAGUCCGGUUGCAGUGUAAACUUAAAGACAAGUCUUUGUGCAACAAUGGAUGUAACCAAUGAGAAUGACACUGUAGUGGUACAGGGAUUGGUAUUAAUGCAAUGGAGGCACAUAGAAAUGUGCAAACUACGAGACCCAUUAAGAUAUAUGGAUUCAGUACUUUAAUUAGAAUAAUUAAAAUCUUUCUUGGAGAUUAAUGAAUGAGAAUGAAGUGUAAUUUGCCACACUGAGGAUCCUUUUGAAACAAGGUAAACAGUUAAAACCUCUUGUCAGAUUCAGAAAUCACUUUCAUUUGAUUUUGAUAUCAUAUAAUGCUCAGUGUGGGGUAAUGGACACUGAGUUGCUUGGUAAAUGAUACUUGACUGCAAAUGACCUCUUGUUAAACUUGCAAAAGCACCACCAAAUGCAUUGAUUCUUAACUACGUGUCAGUAAGCUGGAAUAAACAAUGGACGUCAGUGA